CUAUUUAUAUUCUCUCUAAGAAGAAAAAUACAGCUUUGUUUUACUACCUAAGCUAAUCAUAGAUCUUUCUGUGUGAAAUCAUGAUAAUUCUGGUUUUUUACUGACUGUGACAGAUUUUGUCCCAGAGAGGUGAACAGAGCACUGGCCUAGAAGCUAGGAGGCCAUUGAUCAUCUUUGUCCUUGUGAUGAUGAGCUGGGCAUCAGGCAUCAGCCGUGAAACGGAGGGUCUUUCAGCCUGGAAAAGUCUCACUCGAGAAGAGGGGCUCAAUGGGUCCUCACAUCAAACUCCUCUCAGGAAAUGAAUCAUCAUCCCUGUGACAAAAUUCAAAAUGUCGCCCUAGUUUCUGCCUUUCACAUUUGCCCACACAGACUUCUCUGACUUGGUUCUGUUCUCCUGCUAAUAACACCUGACCGCAUUCCUCUGGCUUCACACCCAUUCAGUGGUUUGAAUUUAGCAUUCUUUCACAUGUGUGAUUUGGGGCAACUCAUAUAGUCUCUGGGAGAUCCAAUUUAAUCGUCUGAGAAAUGCAGACAAUUACAGUAUCAUAUAAAGCUGGUGAGAGAGUUAAAUGAGCUAAAGUAAAUGAAGUAAUACAAACCAUAAAAGAAAAACUUGAUAAAUUGUAUUUCACCAAAAUUAAAAAUUUUACUCUUUGAAAAGUGGUAUUAAGAAAAUGAAAAGGCAAGAUAUAUAAUGGUAAAAUAUUUGAAAUACGUUUAGCUGACAACGGAAUUGUAUCCAAAAUAUAUAAAGUGCUCACGCAACUCAAUAAGAAGAUAAGCUACUAAUUUACAAAAGAUUUGAACAGAUAGAAGAUAAAGGAAUGGCAAAUGAUUAUCUGAAAGAUGCUCAACAUCAUUAAUCAUCAAGAAACUGCAUAUUAAAACCACAAUGAGAUACCACUUUACACCCAUUAGAAUGUCUAUCAUCAAACAGACAGAAAACACGAAGUGUUGGUGAAGAUGUGGAGCAACUGAAACUCUCACACACUGCUUAUGGGAAUACAGAAUUAUACAACCUCUUUGGGAAAACUUUGGCAAUUUCUUAAGAAGUUCAAUAUAAACCAACUAUAGGUCUUAGCCAUUCCACCAAAGGGAUUUACCCCUAAAGAAAUGAACACACACAAGGACAUAAAUGUGAAUGUUCAUUCCAGCUUCAUUUGGAAUAGCUAAAUACUGGAAACAAUCCAAAUGUCCAUCAAUAGAUAAAUAAUGGAUACACAAAACACAAUAUAUCCAUACAAUGGAAUACUACUAAUCUAUAAAAAGGAAUGAUCUGCUUAUACACACAAUAAAAUGAAUGAACUCAAAAUCGUUAUCCUGAGGGAAAGAAAUUAGAUACAAAAGAACACAUAAGGUAGUAUUUCAUUCACAUAAAAUUCUAAAAAAAUGCAUACUAAUCUGCAGUGACAAAAAACAGAUAGCUGGUUGCUUGAGAAAAAGGUAGAGGAAGGAAUGGACUACAAAUGUUCAUGAGGAUCCUUCUGGGGAUGGUGGAAAUAUACUGUCUUGAUGGAUGUGGUAGUUUCACAGAUGUGUACAUCUGUUGUAAUUCAUCAAAGUAUACACUACUAAUGGAUGUGGGUCAUCAUAAGUGAAUUACAGCUCAGCAAAGUUGAUUUAAAAAUAAUAAAAUAAGUGAAGUGCUGAGAUCUCAGCUUGGCUCAGAGUUCUAAAUAUCAGCUGAAUAUUAUUCUUAUUCUCUUUACCACAGUAAUUACUAUCACCCCACCAUUGACAUCUGAUGCUGCCCCAUCUGUGUCUGAUAGCAUGUCUCAGUUCCUUCUUGUGUACAAUGGCUAGGAUAGUAGUAUUAGGCCAAGAGCAGCCCUUCCCGAAUGACUUAAUAAAUCCCUCUCCCUCUUUAGAAGCUGGGUGAGAGGACCAAAUGAUGACAAGUUACAUGAGAAAUUAUACUAUAAAUAUUGGAUUUUAUAGUUUUAUUAUUCUUUGCUUACUCAUCUGAUGCCCCCUCGGCAAGCUAGCACUGUUCACAAUGAAGGGAAAAUAAACGGACCCGGAAACCAUGAAUCCCAAUUUCCUCUGCCCUUGUUAUGGUUCCACCUACCACUAGUGUCUUAGAAUUGGCAGAUUUGAUGGGUAGGAACAGGGUUUGACAUUAAGUGGCUCUGGAUUCAAACUUCAAGUCCACCACUCACAAUCUGUGUGGCCUUCAACUACUCAACAGCUGUUAGACUCAGUUUGUCAUAUAUAAAAUGGGCAUAAUAGUUAAUACCUGAUAUAGUGGUUGUGAGAUUUUAAAAAAAAGGAUAUUGUGGAAUAUAUUGCACGCGUCUUGGGUCUAGUAAACCCACAGCUGACGGUAGCUCCUCUUAUACUCUGCCCUGUGGGCAGGUAGCAUGUGUGUUUGUUUAGUCGUUGAGGGGCCAACCUGGAGACAUGGAUCCAUUUACACCCAGCAGCAGCAGCGUAUAUUGACGUCUUCUCUUUACAUCCGAUUUCCCGACUCUCUGCUUGAGAAGCUGUGUGCUAAAGGUCAAGGUAGAAAAUGGUCUCACUCUACGUUCUCCCCUCACAUUGCAGCUCCAGAUGGCAUCUGAACACUCAUUGGUAAUAAACAGGGAGAUAUUUAAAAUUUUUUUAAAGUCUUCUUUAAUCUACUUGGAUAAUUACCUCAAAAAUAAUAAUAAUUCUGAAUUCUCUCCAUAACCCAUAUGGAAAACCCUAAAAUCAUGAAGAAGAGAGCUGCUAAUUAGCUAUUUUCAUUUUACCUAAAAAGAACAGGACCAAAGACAUUCAGUCAGGAAGCUGAAAUCACAUCUUCAAAAGCAAGGUUGAUUAAGGAAGAAGGGAAGCAAGCAUUUAGGGGCUUGCCGAAAAGAAGCAGGGACUGAGGCAAAUGUUAAUGUGCAAAACGGGCUGAGGCAAAUGAUUCAAAAUCACCCUAAAUUUAGGGAAAUAAAGG
This is a long non-coding RNA of Equus caballus (horse), 2926 nucleotides long. Lineage: Eukaryota; Metazoa; Chordata; Mammalia; Perissodactyla; Equidae. The record is from Ensembl.